Molecule: ribosomal RNA, 507 nt
Filed under: uncultured bacterium
Lineage: Bacteria
Description: bacterial SSU rRNA
Rfam family: Bacterial small subunit ribosomal RNA
Source: RNAcentral
UUUCGGGUUGUAAAGCACUUUCAGCGGGGAAGAAGGCCUGGGGGUUAAUACCCGCCAGGAACGACAUCACCCGCAGAAGAAGCACCGGCUAACUCCGUGCCAGCAGCCGCGGUAAUACGGAGGGUGCGAGCGUUAAUCGGAAUUACUGGGCGUAAAGCGCGCGUAGGUGGCGUGAUAAGCCGGUUGUGAAAGCCCCGGGCUCAACCUGGGAACGGCAUCCGGAACUGUCAGGCUAGAGUGCAGGAGAGGAAGGUAGAAUUCCCGGUGUAGCGGUGAAAUGCGUAGAGAUCGGGAGGAAUACCAGUGGCGAAGGCGGCCUUCUGGACUGACACUGACACUGAGGUGCGAAAGCGUGGGUAGCAAACAGGAUUAGAUACCCUGGUAGUCCACGCCGUAAACGAUGUCGACUAGCCGUUGGGAGCCUCGAGUUCUUAGUGGCGCAGUUAACGCGAUAAGUCGACCGCCUGGGGAGUACGGCCGCAAGGUUAAAACUCAAAUGAAUUGACG